Molecule: non-coding RNA, 111 nt
Filed under: Streptomyces sp. WMMB 714
Lineage: Bacteria; Bacillati; Actinomycetota; Actinomycetes; Kitasatosporales; Streptomycetaceae
Description: Bacterial large subunit ribosomal RNA
Rfam family: Bacterial large subunit ribosomal RNA
Source: Rfam by way of RNAcentral
CCCCUUUUGUGGGGUUAAGGCUCCCGGGAGAUGACCGGGUUGAUAGGCCAGAUAUGGAAGACCCGUGAGGGUUGGAGUUGACUGGUACUAAUAAGCCGAGGGCUUGACCAU